UACGUAGGGUGCGAGCGUUGUCCGGAAUUACUGGGCGUAAAGAGCUCGUAGGUGGUUUGUCGCGUUGUUCGUGAAAACCGGGGGCUUAACCCUCGGCGUGCGGGCGAUACGGGCAGACUUGAGUACUGCAGGGGAGACUGGAAUUCCUGGUGUAGCGGUGAAAUGCGCAGAUAUCAGGAGGAACACCGGUGGCGAAGGCGGGUCUCUGGGCAACAACUGACGCUGAGGAGCGAAAGCGUGGGGAGCGAACAGG
This 253-nucleotide ribosomal RNA is filed under the name uncultured bacterium. Its description in RNAcentral is "partial 16S ribosomal RNA". It matches the Rfam family "Bacterial small subunit ribosomal RNA", at positions 524 to 776 of the family's 1533-position model. The record is from RNAcentral.